GAAGAGACUGUGAGGGGGCGGGAGGAAAAAACGUGAGACGUACAUUGGGAGAGUAGCGCAGAAGGGUGGACGGAGAGGUGCUCUGGAAGCUGAACCAGGUUUUAAGAAGCCAAGUUUCUGUUGACUGGAUUUAUUCAGUACAUCUUAUGUUUUGCCUUGUUAGCUGUGUGUAGUUAACGACUGCAGAGGCACAGAUGUUGUUUUUUGUCUGAGUGAGAAAAAACGGAGAUUCUGUGUGAGCGGGUUCAAGCUAACCGCUAAAGCUAACGGCUAAGCUAACGGCUAAGCUACGACCGGCGAGCCUCGUCGCGGGCUGAAUGGACUUUGAACUGGACAGACGGAGGUGCUUCUGGAUGAGGAGUUACCUGGAUGAGGAGUUACCUGGAUGAGGAGUUACCUGCCGCUCCUCUGACCGUUUCUUUUUCUGAGACAUUGGAUUAUUCGUCGGCUGGCUGCUGACUUUUCAGACACCGAACUGUGAACGCCACGACAUGGAUUCUGCUAACGGCUAACUGUGAGUUUGCUGACCGGAGAUCAACGCUGCUGCGGGGAUUUCGUGGGCUGCUUCCUGUGAUCAUCGUGGGUUUUCUACUCUGCACCUGGACUACGGCGAACAGCUGGAGAUCGACACACAGCUGCUUCUGAGCCUCCUGGAAUACGCGGGAGUACAAGAAGAUCAUCACCACCAGCGGCAGAUGGAUGGGCAGGAAGGAGAUGAGGGAGGCCACAACCCAAACCCCGAGCACCACUGCAAAGGCCCGACCCCUGGUCAGCAGCAAGAGACAACAGAGGGCACACAAAUGAAGAACCAACAGAUGAGCAUGUCGGGCUGAAGUGGGCCUGUGGACAGACUGAGUUUGCUCCGGUUCGUCCAUGAGGCUUGAAAAACAUUUCGACUUCAGACGCUGUUCGGCGCUCUAGCACCAUGUGGAGGAUCCCUUCCUUCCCGGUAAAACACACCGGCAGCCCCUGAGUCUGUGAAACACCCCAGAAACUCAGCAGCAUCCAGCAUUUCAGCCCUGACACCGGAGCGCACAGGCACGCAGCGGUCCGCCGGAGCGCACUGACCGGGAAGCGGACGUGGGCGGGAUGGACGCACCGAACCAGAGAACCGCAGGGGUCGUUGGGGUGGGAGAGGCAGGAGCUGGAGGCGUGAGGAGGGGCAGUAAACCGUCAGUUUCCAUUUAAUUCCUUCCUUUUACGCAGCGCGGAGAGGUACAGUAGUCCGCCGCCUGACUGUAAUCGGCUCGCCGGGAGGAGCAGGGAAAGCCCUUCCCAGGCUGAGCCGGAAUGAGGGAGGGAGAGUUUUAAGUAGGACAGGGACCGAGAGAGUUGAAAAGAGCGCUUUGUCAUAUUUGGAGCUUUUGUACUGCUGCUGGAGGCUUAAAUGAACUGACUGAUACGGACUCCAAAGGGCGACUCUCAUUCAAGCUGCUGGAAUUCCACUUGGCAUCAUGAGCGGACCAACAAAUGCAGUUCAGUACCAGUCAGGUCUUUAUGGAGGAAACAACAACAGCAGCUCUCCGCUCUCCAGCCGUGGAAACUCGCCCAUCGUGUGUGAGCGCUGUGGGGAGGUUUGUCGUGGGGAAGUGGUGCGAGUCAAGAACACGCACUUCCAUGUUCACUGCUUCACUUGCCAAGUUUGCAGCUGUGACUUGGUGCACUCGGGUUUCUUCCACCACUCUGGCGAAUACAUCUGUACAGAGGACUACCAGCGGCUCUAUGGCACCCAGUGUGACAGCUGUGAUCAGUACAUCACUGGGGAGGUUGUAUCUGCUCUGGGGAGGACGUACCACCCACACUGCUUUGUCUGCAGCAUCUGCAAGAGUCCGUUCCCAAUUGGAGACAGGGUGACCUUCUGCGGGAAAAAGUGUGUGUGUCAGCAGUGCUCGCACUCUCUGAACAGCGACAAGCCCGUCAAGGUCCACGGACCGAGCUACUGUGCCGGCUGUGGCGAGGAGAUCAAACAGGGUCAGUCUCUGCUGGCUCUGGAGAGGCAGUGGCACGUCAGUUGCUUUAAAUGCCGGACGUGCGGCUGUGCGCUCACUGGAGAGUACAUCAGCAAAGAUGGGAUUCCUUACUGUGAGACCGACUACCACACUCAGUUCGGGAUCAGGUGUGAGGGCUGUAACAGGUACAUCAGCGGCAGAGUUCUGGAGGCUGGAGGGAAGCACUACCACCCCAGCUGUGCCAGGUGUGCCCGCUGUCACAUGAUGUUCCUGGAGGGAGAGGAAAUGUACCUCACAGGUUCAGAGGUUUGGCACCCCAUGUGUAAAGAAGCAGCUCGGCUGGAGAGAAAACUGAGGCUGAGACGAACCUCUGAGACGGCAUCCAUCUCUCCUCCAGGCUCGUCUCCUCUCCUCGGCUCUCCCCACCGGCUCAUCUGUUCCAAGGCUGACAGUGAUGCUUUGGACUAUAAGCACCUGGCGGCUCUGCCCAGGGUCAAAGCCAUAUAUGACAUCCAGCGGCCCGACAUCAUCCCUUAUCAGGCCGAUCAUGCACACACACACCUCUCAGACGACACUUUGGAGAGGUACAGCUGUGGACAGUCACUGGGCUCCUUAUCGCCGUACUCUCAUGAUCUCUUGGAUGGCAUGGAUUUGAGAACGAGGCGUUCCUCCAGCUCUGCCUUCACCGACUCCCCUGCACACAGUCGCCACGGAGGCUCCCCACUGCAUUAUUAUCUCCCUGGCAGUGAGAGUGGCAGGAGUUCACCCUAUUACAGUCAGCCCGAGCCCAGGUGUGCUACACCCACCACCACCACCUUCCAAGCCCCCAAGCAUUUCCAUGUGCCAGCUUCUGCGGAAACCAACAUCUACAGGAAACCCCCCAUCUAUAAGAGACAAGACAUAUCUGCCUCUCCGACAGUCAAUAAGACAAAGACCAAUGAGAACCUUCUCAAUACCAGUCGGCUUUCCACCUCAAACUGUAACAGCAUUUACCACCCAGAAUCCAACUACUAUCCAUAUUCUGGAUCUCCAAAAGUCUCCAGGGUGAGGAGAUUCUCAUCUGGAGGAGAGGAGGAUGGAUGGAAUCAUAACAUAAACAGGGGAAUUGGCAGGAUGAUCCUGAAGGAGGAGAUGAAGGCACGAUCAGGUUGUCACGACAAUGACCAGUGGGGAAGCAGACGCAGUUCUCGCUGUAGCAGCAAGGAGACGCUGAACAAUCUGGGCUACGGCUCCCUCAAUGGAUCUCCCAGGUCCGUCUAUAGUGCAGACAGCGACUCGUACAUUGCCAAAUCGGCCUCGUUGCCAGGCUAUGGGAGAAAUGGACUAAACAGGCAGCCCGGCAGCGCAAGUGCAGAUUAUUACCAGUAUGACAGCAGUAAUGCAGUUAAUUGGCAGAUCAGAGAAUACAAGGUAAGAUGCAGAUGCCAGAGCUAGAGAACUGUUGCUGAGCCAAGAGUGAAAGGUCUGGAUCAAUGAAGACAGAUAAGAAUGAUGUGUUACUGAAUCCAUCUCCUUCAGCAACACCCACUUUGUAAAGCUGACUGACUCAUUUUAUCGACAGCGAAACGAAACAAACACUUCACAAACAAGCACCCCUUUAUAGUAGAAACAGAUUAUUUUUUUUAUUUCUAAUCUUUUCAAUAUUAAGAAAAGGAGGAAAACAAGAACCAUAUCAACCCACAAAUGAGAUUUUUCUUUAUCUUGCAUAGACAGAUCUCUCUCCACAGUGCUUUGUCAACAGUGGAGCAUGGUUUUUCUUUAUCUUUUCCUCUAAAGUCAUGAAACAGACACAUUUUCCUUUUUUUAAUAAAUUUUUUUCCACUGUUUCUACAUUUGGCCACUAGAGGGAGACAACACUUUUAAAAAUGAUCUACCUGUCUAGUGCUGUUGCACGCAAAUCUAAACCACAUUACCUAUAUUUUAUAACACUGAGGAAACAAACCUCUGAACUGAAUUCACAUGUUGGUUAAAGCCUCCAAUGUGCAUUAUGAUAGAAAAGGCUUAUAAAAAUGUCAGCUGUAAAUGUAAAUAUGAAGUCACAGAUAGAUAUGUGUUAGUAGUAUUUUUCUCUCGCUCCAUCAGAUCUACCCAUACGAAGCCCUGGUGGUGUCAGUCAGAGGGCAGAAGCGUCUCCCCAGCGAUGUGGACCGAGCCAGACUUGAGCGUCACCUCUCACCAGAAGAGUUUUACAGAGUCUUCGGCAUGUCCAUGUCCUCUUUUGACCGUCUUGCUCAGUGGAAGAAGAACGAACUGAAGAAACAGGUCAGACUUUUCUGAGAAAUCAGCAGAACCGUCUGACUGAGUGCCGAUCCACCACUAACAGUGUAGCUUCCAAUAAGGGUUUACUGACCCCAGCUCGAGUGUGCGUCUCAGUGGAGGCCUGAGAACUGAACAAAAUAAAUGUUUUUCUUCCCUUGAGGUGGCAGAAAGAAAAGAACUGUUGGCUGCCUCUUCUUGGCCGCUGUAGAACUACUUAAGCAAUAUGGAGGAAGUCAGCCAAAUGGGCCAAACUGGGGGGAAACCUAAUGAGUGGAAGAAGACUGGAGGGAGAGCAGAGAGCUGCACUGGGACGAUAAUUCCCUACCAGCAGAUGGCAGUGUGUUGACAUGAGCAGUGUGGUCGCUGCUCUGCUGAAGUACUUUGAACCAAAUGGAGGGUCUGCCACACUUACAGUGAGGAAGAUGGUUUGUGAAGCAAAUCUGGUUGGAAGACAGCAGACGUUACCCAGUCAGACAGACGCUGCCCUCAGCAACUCAUAAUCUGACAGGACAAGUGAAGAUGUGAUCCUCAUCAGUAGGGUUACUGAACAUGAUAUAAUGUGCAAACACUGACAACCCAAAGUUUUCUCUCGCUUUCGAUGUCAGUUUAUUCUGAAGCCAUAUCAGUGUUGAUACUUCUUUUCUACGACAUGAGCAGACUGUACGGUUCACUGACGCGUGUUUUGGAAUAUAAUGUGAAUGAACUGUGUCGCAGCUCGGCGCUUGGAGCUGUUAAACAAGUUUAGAAAUGGGAAGGACUGGCACUGCACACUUGAAAACAUGAUAACUGUGCUCCACUUAUUUCAUUUGAAGAAAUUAAAGUUUUGGUCUAUUCAGAUUUGCAGCUGCACUCGAGAAACAUCACUGAAUUUCAGCUGCUGGAUUACAAUUAAACCACCAGACUGAAUCAUGUUUACGCAAUUAAUCUGUGUGUGUGUGUGUAAUUACAGCAAAUGACUAAUAGAAAGAUUUUUAUGAGUGAAUAUUUAGAAGGGAUCUGAAUAAAGGGAAGGAUUAUGAUGUAAAAAAAAAGUGAAAUGGCAAGAAGGGGAGGAAUGUGCGAAGGGAUAAACAAAGAGAGUUGACAGGUGUCACAAAAGGAAAAUUAAAGAUCUAUGUUUGUGAUAAACAGGUAAGACAUAUCGUCUAAGCUGAAAUGGAUUUAAUAGAAGGUGAAAUGAACAAGAUGUGUUUGCUCAUAUGCAGGAGUGUUUUAACUGAGUGUAAAAGUUGGAAUAAUGUGCUGUUUUUACAGUGACUGAAACCAUGCGGAGUGUGCUUGUGAGUAUUGUAUGUGUGUGUGUUUACAAUUUGCCACAAUAAAUCACAUUUACCACAUUCAGUGUUUACGGAACUACAAACUAACUUAUUUUUUGAUUUAUCGGAGUUCCCAUUUAUCAUUUAAAGCCCCAUUUCUGUCACUCCAGCUUCUGAAUAAACGAUGCAAUGAA
This is an RNA transcript of Amphiprion ocellaris (clown anemonefish), 5658 nucleotides long. It is a transcript of the gene named actin-binding LIM protein 3-like, with no coding region annotated. NCBI's taxonomy places the organism in Eukaryota, Metazoa, Chordata, Actinopteri, Pomacentridae. The record is from RefSeq and is a predicted model, not a curated record. The transcript is spliced from 26 exons.